CCCUUAGAUGUCCUGGGCCGCACGCGCACUACACUGAUGCAUUCAACGAGUUUUACCUUGGCCGAGAGGCCUGGGCAAUCUUUUAAACCUGCAUCGUGAUAGGGAUAGAUUAUUGCAAUUUUUAAUCUUGAACGAGGAAUUCCUAGUAAACGCAAAUCAUCAAUUUGCAUUGAUUACGUCCCUGCCCUUUGUACACACCGCCCGUCGCACCUACCGAUUGAAUGGUCCGGUGAAGCCUCGGGAUUGUGGCCAGUUCACUUUAUUGGGAGUUGGCUGUGAGAACUUGUCUAAACCUUAUCAUUUAGAGGAAGGUGAAGUCGUAACA
Molecule: ribosomal RNA, 325 nt
Filed under: uncultured eukaryote
Lineage: Eukaryota
Description: partial 18S ribosomal RNA
Rfam family: Eukaryotic small subunit ribosomal RNA
Source: RNAcentral